This 373-nucleotide long non-coding RNA is filed under the name Musa acuminata (dwarf banana). Its description in RNAcentral is "long non-coding RNA (MACU_LNC006023)". The record is from RNAcentral. Lineage: Eukaryota; Viridiplantae; Streptophyta; Magnoliopsida; Zingiberales; Musaceae.
AAUGAAUCUCGAUGGAUCCCUUCAGGGCACUCACUCCAUAUCUCAGCUCUGCUACGCCAACACCAGUUGUUUGUUUGCCGAUGAGCUACCAAAUAGAGAGCAGAAAAUAAGAGGAAGAUGAUGAUUUUAGUGAAGGAAAUCGCUGAUUCAGAGCCUUUAAUUACAUACAUCAUGAGAGACAAGACAACGAGAGAAGAGGGAUCAAAUCGAUCGGCAUAAUGGAGAAUGCCACUAAUGAACUGUCCUAAAGCAAUUCCACGCAUUAGCAAAUGAGUAUAACGAAGGAGAAAGGGGAAAAAAGGAGUGUAAGAGUGGAAAUACCACCAAAAGCUGGUUGUCAGCCUUACACGAUUAGAAAGACCCAAAAGUUCUU